Molecule: long non-coding RNA, 1153 nt
Filed under: Triticum aestivum (bread wheat)
Lineage: Eukaryota; Viridiplantae; Streptophyta; Magnoliopsida; Poales; Poaceae
Description: long non-coding RNA (TAES_LNC012505)
Source: RNAcentral
CCGCUGUGACAUGAAAGCCCCGAGAUGGAUCUCAUGGAGCCCGAAGAACCCAGGGAGGAGGUACUACAACUGCGGCAAAGCACUGGUAUUUUUUCUUGCGCUUGUUAUGCUAUUAGCCUCGAGUGUGUAGGAGCAAGUAUGCGCUGAAUGAAUGGACUGAAAAAUCUUUGUCCCAGUUUUGGGGUUGUAGUACUGAAAAAUUAGUAUGCAGGGGCAAGCAGCCUCGAGUGUGUAGGAGCAAGUAAUUUUUUGGAAAUUAGUAUGCACUGAAAAAUUAGUAGUAUUUCCUCCCAGUUUUGGGGCUGGUAUUCUGAAUUAUAAAAUGAUGAUGUAUAUCUGAAUUCUCUGCGUGUGCACAUGUUAAUCUGUUGCUUCUGAUCUUGUGAACCCAGGGAGUCGACUGCAGAUAUUUUAUGAGCAUGUUGCUUGGUGAUUUGCGCGAUGUUGUGUAUCGACUGAAGGAUCAAUUGAGGAAUGAAAAUGACUUGCUCAACGCCAGCUUGUCGAAGAACAAGAUGUUGGAUGCGUAUGUGUGUGAUUUGGAAGUCAAGCAUCAUGGAGAAGUUGUUGUCCUGAAGAAGAAGAUUCGGAAACUGCGGUUCUGCCUUGUGGUUGCUGUUCUGUUUUGCCAUUUCCUUCUUUUGGAAAUGAUUUACAUCAUAAAAAAAUAGUUUGUGAAUGACUCAAUUAUGUAUGCUAUUAAGCAAGAUUCAGAAUGUAUGCUGGAGAAAUUGAUGUCCUGAAUGUAUGUUGUACUAUGAAAACAUGCAGAAUUUGUACAGUGUAAUGUUAUGAAAAAUUAAGAAUUUGACCUGAAUGUAUGUUGUGUUAUGAAAACAAUCAGGAUCUAUGUAUGUGACAAUUCUGAUAUAUAGUUGGUGUUCAAUCCAGAACAAAAUAGUAUGUGAAAAUCCUGAUAUAUAGUUGGUUGGCAGUACAGAUAUUACAUGACUGCAACUAGAGGCCCUACUCCUGAAACAAAAAAGACUCCUUAAACAUAUAUAUUACAUGACAUGACUCCUGAUACAAAAAAGACUUGUUCAACAUCAAACUGGAGGCCCUGCUCUGCCUUUUUUAGCCUCCUUGUAUGCAGCUAGAUUGAAGACACAAUGUUGUGGCAAGUUUGUAACUUGUUUAGGUGGAACAAAUGGAG